GGGAUGUAAGAUUGAUCACAAAGGAGUAGUGAGAUUAUUGCGGUUUCUAUGUAUCUGAUUUGCAACUCCAGCACUUCCACAGCAGCCUUAAAAAUCAGGAUUAUCUACAGAAGAAAAACUUGCAGGUGCUGAGCAGUGAUCCAAGCGCAUCUUGCUGCCUUUGGGAGAGUCUGCUCCAGUGGCUGCCCCGUUUUUCUGUGAGUUUAUCAAAACUCUUGCUCUUUUCCAGAAGCAAAAGGAGGUAACACACUCCAAGAUCAGAUUUUGGAGCGUACUGGUUUAGUGGGAGGUGUCCAGGCAGGGGAUGAACUUUAAUGGGGAGGCACUGAGGGGCAUCCCCUAAUUUAUACCCCAUUGGCUCCUUG
Molecule: long non-coding RNA, 365 nt
Filed under: Junco hyemalis (dark-eyed junco)
Lineage: Eukaryota; Metazoa; Chordata; Aves; Passeriformes; Passerellidae
Description: lncRNA (ENSJHYG00000001402.1)
Source: RNAcentral